UGCACACAUGAUGAACAUUUAGGGACUUAAUACUGAAACUAUUUGCUGAUUUGUUUGGUCUGAUGUGC
The sequence is a small nucleolar RNA, 68 nucleotides long. Its record names the gene SNORD82. It matches the Rfam family "Small nucleolar RNA SNORD82". From Rfam's summary of the family: snoRNA U82 or Z25 is found in both humans and mice. U82/Z25 is a member of the C/D class of snoRNA which contain C (UGAUGA) and D (CUGA) box motifs. Most of the members of the box C/D family function in directing site-specific 2'-O-methylation of substrate RNAs. The record is from Ensembl.